Molecule: ribosomal RNA, 468 nt
Filed under: uncultured bacterium
Lineage: Bacteria
Description: partial 16S ribosomal RNA
Rfam family: Bacterial small subunit ribosomal RNA
Source: RNAcentral
GACGAACGCUGGCGGCGUGCUUAACACAUGCAAGUCGAACGGAAAGGCCCUGCUUUUGUGGGGUGCUCGAGUGGCGAACGGGUGAGUAACACGUGAGUAACCUGCCCUUGACUUUGGGAUAACUUCAGGAAACUGGGGCUAAUACCGGAUAGGAGCUCCUGCUGCAUGGUGGGGGUUGGAAAGUUUCGGCGGUUGGGGAUGGACUCGCGGCUUAUCAGCUCGUUGGUGGGGUAGUGGCUUACCAAGGCUUUGACGGGUAGCCGGCCUGAGGGGGUGACCGGCCACAUUGGGACUGAGAUACGGCCCAGACUCCUACGGGAGGCAGCAGUGGGGAAUAUUGCACAAUGGGCGGAAGCCUGAUGCAGCAACGCCGCGUGCGGGAUGACGGCCUUCGGGUUGUAAACCGCUUUCGCCUGUGACGAAGCGUGAGUGACGGUAAUGGGUAAAGAAGCACCGGCUAACUACGUG